UAUCUACUCUUGAUCAUACACAAUCGUCUCAUUUCAUUUUCAACUAAAACUUACUUUGCUGUAAUUGCUUCUGUUGCUUGGAAAGUUUAUAAUCGGGAAAUAUCAGGCCUCAGAUUCCAUUCACUCACCAUGGAAAAGUUUUCUUCCCCUCGCCUAACAGCAGCGGCGACGAAGGAGCCCGAAAGGCCAGCCCAAUUCGUAAAACAAUGGACAUCGCGUGAGCGAGGAGCGUUGCGUACUCUGCUGAUAUUCUCCUUUGCCAUGAUCUUCCUACCGAUUAGCGGGUACUUUGCAUUCAAACAUGUACUGUUAGAAGGUCUGUUUGGAUGGGCUGAUGGUGCCAUUGGUGGUGCCAUUGCGUCCGUUGUCAUCAUCCACGUGCUCAUCGCCAUCUACGUGAUCCUCGCGUUUCGCGAAGAUCAAUCGACCAAGACGGACUGAGCUACGUCCGCAUGUAUGUUGUUGUGUUCUUGGCCCCCUGCGGUGGGUCAGUUAUUCUCAUACAUGUACUCGUAUGUAACUUGCUGUCUACAGCAUUGGGUGUACUUGUAUGUACGUACAUUUGAUGUGUAAUUGCCAUUUGGUGUGGUGAAGAGUGAAGACCUGCGUGGUUUCUUUAGUGGUGCUCUCCUGUCUCCGCAGAUUUACCAAUCCCUGUAUGGCAUCUUUACCCGUAGUUCUGGCCUAGGCUGAGUGGUAUAACUAGUGUGUGUGUGUAUGUGACCGACUGUCGAACUGGGCUCUGUUCAUUGUCAAUGCUGCACCGUGCCUUUCUAGGCAGCCGGUAGUGGCGGCAACAUUGCCUCCGCUAGCAGGGCAUCGGCUCUACCCUACCACAUGCCAACAAUUCGUCAGGCUAGGCCUUGCUGCUGGCGAAGCUCGACUCGUACUCAUUACUUCUGCAACCCAGACUCGCGCCACCAGUAUGGCUUCGUGCUUUUGUUCUCAUACGAUUGUGAUCAUUGUUCUCGCAUACGAAUGCUAUCAGAUGUUGGCAGAUUUGCAGCAUAGCAAUCUGGCUAUAUCUAAGCAUGAAAGAGAUAUUAUUUUCAUCAUGAUGUCACUACACUGAUGCAAAACACUAUUGUAUUCCGACAUAAUUCGUUUUUAGUUUUUAUCCACAAAGCGUUGUUCAACGUUUUUUUUUGUACAACGGAUUUUCAUAGGAACUGCAAGUGCAAGUACACGUAUGUUUGUGCCUUGCUAGAUGUGAA
Molecule: long non-coding RNA, 1214 nt
Organism: Sycon ciliatum
Lineage: Eukaryota; Metazoa; Porifera; Calcarea; Leucosolenida; Sycettidae
Exons: 3
Source: RefSeq, a predicted model, not a curated record